This 64-nucleotide small nucleolar RNA is filed under the name Trypanosoma rangeli SC58. Its description in RNAcentral is "Trypanosomatid snoRNA TB11Cs5H3". It matches the Rfam family "Trypanosomatid snoRNA TB11Cs5H3". The record is from Rfam by way of RNAcentral. Lineage: Eukaryota; Euglenozoa; Kinetoplastea; Trypanosomatida; Trypanosomatidae.
AGGUCUGUUCGAAGGCCCUCCACUCACAUUCUAUGAGUGGGCGUGGUUCAAAAGCCGGCCGAGA